UUGUGGCAGCCAUUUUUAGAUCCCUGGCUGCCUUUAUAACCAGAUCAGUUCCCUGCUGGCAGGGAGGUAGUAACAUUGCCUGGCUGUGAGGCUUCAUGUAUCAUCCUGGAGAUCCAAGGCUGCCACCUGGUCCCCAUCCUGCUGGCCGGACCCUGGCAGGGACACAGAACGUGCUCCAGGACAUCACUGCUGGGGUCGCCAUCACCUUCCUGGCCACCUCUGGGCCCACCACGUCAGCCAGAACUGGUGGCUGCAUGUCAUCUAGCACAGCUGGGACAAGCAGUGACUGGAGGUGUUCAGGAUGACCCAAGCCACCUUUUGGUUGCUCCUGGAGCAGCUAUGCCCACACCUGUAGUGGCAGGACACCAACAUGCAGCAGCCCUUCCCCACAGACACCUGGCUGACCUUCACCCUACUGAAGCUGGCCACACCCACCAGCCUCUGCUACGUGGGCCACCUCUUUGAUGUGGGCAAGGGCAAUGCUGGGAAGGCUGUCCUGGAGGUUUGCAGGACCCUCCAGGACAUACUAGGGCACACUGCUCCGUGUGGAUGACUCCCUGGUAGUGGGGUUCCGUGCCCUGAUAUUCUCCCAGUGCAUCCAUGCCCUGGACAGGACCCACAUCCCCAUUACCUGCCCGCCCCAAAGCAACUGCCCCUAGUACAGCCAGAGGGGCUUUCACUCGGUUGUGCUCCAAGCUGUUGUUGACCGCCGUGGCGCCUUCACCAAUGUGAGUGCUGGCUAGGCAGGCAGUGCCCACAAUGCCCACGUGUUUCAGAACUCCACCCUGCCAGCCCUGGUGCAGAGCAGCCACUUUGUGCCAGGGGUAUCAGACCUGCAACUGGAUGCAGCGGUGGUCCUGCUCCACUUUAUU
Molecule: long non-coding RNA, 872 nt
Organism: Alligator mississippiensis (American alligator)
Lineage: Eukaryota; Metazoa; Chordata; Crocodylia; Alligatoridae
Exons: 2
Source: RefSeq, a predicted model, not a curated record